UUUUACAAACCUGUUAAUCACUCCAAAAUCACUCUAAAAAUUCCCAGCUUGAGCAGAAAGUUUAAGUCAUUCAAAGUGAGUUCUAGCUCACUUUUUCAACUCGUUUCUUCUUGUUCCUUCUUCUAAAACACUUGGAUAACCUCUAGGAAGGGUUUCACAAGUUUGCUUGGGCAAACUAAGGUGAAACCUCACCAUUUUUGAGGUCCAAAGUGCAUGUAAAAUUCUGCUCAUUUUUAUUUCUUUUUAUGUUUAUAUUUUGAUAGAAAACUUGGUUGAAUCUUGUUCCCACCAAGCUCACAAUUUAGUCUAUGUUUGUGGGUUUGUGUUUAAGGGAUUUCCAUCAAGGUUUUGGGUUCAAACACCCCUUUUAUUUCUGUUUAUACAUAACAAAUUAAUGAUGAAAACAAGCACAAGACAUCAUCUUUUAUCUUUUAUAUGAUGAACUUGUGACUUGUGAAGUGUGAACAAAUGGAAGCUUUGGCUUUCCAAACUAAGUUCCACUCCUUCAUUUGAACAUUCUAUAACUUGUUAGAUUAGAUUUACUUUAUUGCUAUUCAUGACCCUCCUACUAUCUUCAUGAUGGUGUGUGUAGUGGUGAACACCAAAGAGGUACCUAAAUGGAAGACUUGUUCUUCUUACCUCAUGCAUGACUUAUGUGAAUUACAAAGAGGUUCCUAAAUGGGGGAUUCAUCCUCCUACCUCAUACUUGACUUAUAUGACAAUAUGAUAUCUAUAUAACUUAUAUAAUAUACAAUUAACCAAACUUUUGAUGAUGAACUAGUGGUCAUUUGUCAAGAUAGUAGGUUACAUCAUCUAAAGACAAUAAUACUUGUUACGAUCCUAAUGGACAUUUUAAUCCAUAAAAACAUUCAAACUCUUUGAGUUUCAUAGUGUCAAGGACAAGUCUUAUGUGUGCUAGAUGAAUACUUUUUCAUAUGUUUAUUUUCAUGUCCUCAAACUCCAAAUCCUUAAACCAUAUGUAAACAUCUCUUAAACUCCAAAUCGAACACAUUCAACUUUCUAGUCUCAACAACUUCGUCACAUUGGAUAAUCGGAAAGCACAUGCAAUUUUGUUGAGGAUGAUGAUGCUAUGAAAUGAAUUAGUGUUGAUGCCUAGAUACACAUAUAGACGUUUAGGUUUAAUCGUUGUAUCAAUUUUGAUUAUGUUGUAUCGUAUUUCCUUUGAACUUGACGUUAUUUGAUUUCCUUGUAAUGUUGACAAAUGAAUUAUGAAAUGAAAUUGGUUUAUUAAAUAUUGUC
This 1260-nucleotide long non-coding RNA is filed under the name Helianthus annuus (common sunflower). Its description in RNAcentral is "hypothetical non coding rna". The record is from RNAcentral. Lineage: Eukaryota; Viridiplantae; Streptophyta; Magnoliopsida; Asterales; Asteraceae.